CAAGGCACAAGCUAUAUGUCUCUUAUAAAAAGGAACGGCCAAAACCUAAUCCUCAAAGAGCUCCUUCACUCUUCUCUUACAUUAUUUCCAGCUGAUUUUUGUUCAGUUUUGUGAUCUAAUGUUUCAGUUUCAGCUCCUACCCAUACAGAAUCACUCCAAAUAAGAUCUCGUUGCUUGAUUCGUCUCCGCCGCCGUUUCUGUCGACAGUCUCUGCGUCUUCUUUCCAGACAUCAUCCAGGACUCCGCAAUCAUUCAGUACUGCUGAAUGGGCUCACUUUUCGGCUCAGGUGUUUCUCCUGGUGCAGCCAAUUUUAUUUGUGCUUGUGCCGAGCAUCUGAAAUGAACAGUCCACCUGAUUAAUGUUAAUCAUAAGCUGAUUCCUCUCUGUCCGAAGCUCAAUUCUAAACGUCACAUGACUCAAAGCUUGAGGCUACUACAUUUCAUCCUUGUUCAGUAAAGGCAUUUUUAUAUACUCAAAUAAGAAUGAAUGCUGAUUCAUACUAUUCUUAUAUCUAUGUUUGUUCGAAGUGAAUAGUCUACUUGAUUAAUGUUUAUCAUAAGCUGAUUCCUCUC
Molecule: long non-coding RNA, 573 nt
Organism: Salvia hispanica
Lineage: Eukaryota; Viridiplantae; Streptophyta; Magnoliopsida; Lamiales; Lamiaceae
Source: RefSeq, a predicted model, not a curated record